Molecule: long non-coding RNA, 203 nt
Filed under: Lathyrus oleraceus (garden pea)
Lineage: Eukaryota; Viridiplantae; Streptophyta; Magnoliopsida; Fabales; Fabaceae
Description: Pisum sativum (pea) long non-coding RNA (PSAT_LNC000341)
Source: RNAcentral
ACAUCUGCUAGGAGUGCGGGUACUGGAUCUUCAUUCUUAACCUUGACGGCCCAAAACACGCUAAUAGCUGCUACAUCAAUUAACUUCUCCAUGUUAGGAAAUAACACCAAUCCAAAAAUAAGUAAAGCCAUAAUAGUAUCAUGGGCUUCCCACUUCUGGGCUUUGGCAAAGCUUUGAGCAGUUUUCUCCAGGUACUCUUGUGG